Molecule: non-coding RNA, 79 nt
Organism: Callorhinus ursinus (northern fur seal)
Lineage: Eukaryota; Metazoa; Chordata; Mammalia; Carnivora; Otariidae
Source: RefSeq, a predicted model, not a curated record
GGUCAUGUUAAUCUUCACACGCACAUGCUUCUGACACGUACUGGCAAACUGUUCCAGUCUGAUUUAAAGUUGUGUUACC